RNAcentral lists this ribosomal RNA (251 nucleotides) under uncultured prokaryote. RNAcentral describes it as "partial 16S rRNA". It matches the Rfam family "Bacterial small subunit ribosomal RNA", at positions 525 to 775 of the family's 1533-position model. The record is from RNAcentral.
ACGGAGGAUGCAAGCGUUAUCCGGAUUCAUUGGGUUUAAAGGGUGCGUAGGCGGGGUAAUAAGUCAGUGGUGAAAGCCUACAGCUUAACUGUAGAAUUGCCGUUGAUACUGUUAUCCUUGAGUAUAGUUGAGGUAGCUGGAAUGUGAGGUGUAGCGGUGAAAUGAGUAGAGAUCGGGAGGAAGACCGGUGGCGAAGGCGGGCACCUGGACUAAGACUGACGCUCAGGUGCGAAAGCGUGGGGAGCAAACAG